RNAcentral lists this long non-coding RNA (651 nucleotides) under Homo sapiens (human). RNAcentral describes it as "HSALNT0294104". Lineage: Eukaryota; Metazoa; Chordata; Mammalia; Primates; Hominidae. The record is from RNAcentral.
AAUCCAGGAGAGAAAUCAUGUGAGCUUGAGAAGGAAUCAGAUUCUGCAUAUAUUUCCAAGUUAACAUGAACAAGAUUUUCUGAAAGACUGCUAUGGAGUCUGAGAAAAAAUGUCAAAGAUUGAGGACAUGAAGAGGAAAGAACUGACAGAGGAGGUGAAGAAAGGUGAUCAGGAAGAGCCAUCAAAGUGUUAUCCUGGAAUUCAAGUGAAGACAGUGUUUCAAAGUGGAAAUGAACAGUGUCCUGUAACCCUCAGAGUGAGACUAGAGUCAGAAUGCAGGCUUUUCUCAUUUGAAAUCUAUAUGCCACAGAGAGGAUCCAGAGAGCCCAUCUCCGGUCAGUUAUCUGUAUUUGUAUGUCAACUACAGCAUCAAAAAGCAUAGGCAUGGAUACUAAGGACCCCCUCUGUACACCAACGCCAGUCCAAAGGACAGUGUGUCACUGUGAACUGGAAAUUCAUCUCUCUUCUUCAAUUUUUUUCUACCUACUUUAUGCUUUAUCUCUAAGUUGAGGCUGUUUAUGGCCUCAUCCUCAAUUACCUUGUCCCUCAUUACUCCCAGUUAAUGGAGAUUAAGCUUUGUAUCAUGACUUCCUAACUAAAAUUGAAAUCACAAGACAUCACAUAAAUAAAGUUACAAAUGGAUUAGAUAAA